Arachis ipaensis is the source of this 625-nucleotide non-coding RNA. NCBI's taxonomy places the organism in Eukaryota, Viridiplantae, Streptophyta, Magnoliopsida, Fabales, Fabaceae. The record is from RefSeq and is a predicted model, not a curated record.
UGAUUUUUGUUACCAUGUUAACAUACUAAUACAUACUUUUCUUCUUUAAACAGCGGAUAUAGUGUCAAAUUUCAAUUAUUUAACAGUACUUCUAUAAUUGUGUGUAUAUGACAAUAAUAUAAGACGGUGGAUAUUGGCUCACUUUUUUUGUUUAGUUUUAUUUUUCUUUCAUUUGGCUAAAUUAUCUUUCGGUUUAUGUUGCUAUUAUAGGUUUAUUAGCUCUAAAAGUUGAUGGAGAGAACAUGGACCAAAGUCUAGAAAAUGCAUGGAUGGUUUGGGAUAAUCCUUGUUAACUGAAAGUUGCUAGAGACAAAGCCUAAGUAAAGCAAAGAGGAACAUGGUGGGGGUUUAUAACGAUAUUCAACGUUCAAGACAUCAGUCACCGAAAAUGGAAAAAUAGAAGCUAGGCAAAAAUGAAGGUGUACGAAAAAUGGAAUAAUUAAUUAUGCCCUUCUUGUAUUGUUGCUGAGUCGUUAGAUUUGUAUUCAACUCUUUUUAAGUUAGAAUAUGUAUUUUGUUUAAAGGCUUUUUAUUAAAUUGGCUUGUCAUAUAUUGAUAUUUGAAUUAGAAAUCUUUAUACAAUACGUAUAAUGUUUUUGAAAUUUUAACAUGAUAAAAUUUAUUG